AAACCCUAAUCUCCUUCUCUUUCAUUCUCUGCCCAUUCCGCCUCUCUCUUCUCUUUGGGCCGACAGAUGGUGAUGUUGGUGCCGUUAUCCGGUGACGACGAAGAGGAUGAUAACAACAAUAAAUUAGACGAAAAUGACGACGAUGGCCAUUGUGGAGUUGAAGGUGAAGAUGAGGUGGCGCAGGGAUAACUUAAUCAUUACGCGGGGGCUCUCCGGAGCCCAUUUUAUGGAGUUUGUUCUUCGUUUUUGGGGGUUGCUUCUCUGUUUUUGACUACUCGUCUGCUCCGGCUCCGACUCCUGCCAGCGACGGGGCAACGAUAUAUCAAGGGAUUGCAAGUUGAUGUUGGUGGCUUUGGUAGUGACAUACCUACUGAAGAGAGAUUAUUUGAAUUGGGGUUGGAUUAUAUGUUGUGUUAUUUAGUCAUGAAUUUAGGGCAAAAUUUAUGGAUUUAUAUACCAA
Molecule: long non-coding RNA, 460 nt
Organism: Cannabis sativa
Lineage: Eukaryota; Viridiplantae; Streptophyta; Magnoliopsida; Rosales; Cannabaceae
Exons: 2
Source: RefSeq, a predicted model, not a curated record